This is a small nuclear RNA of Salvelinus sp. IW2-2015, 185 nucleotides long. RefSeq annotates it as U2 spliceosomal RNA. The record is from RefSeq and is a predicted model, not a curated record. Lineage: Eukaryota; Metazoa; Chordata; Actinopteri; Salmoniformes; Salmonidae. The transcript has a single exon.
UUCACCGUUUGGAUGUAUGAAAUUAAGAAUAUAACUGAAUCAUCUGUUCAAUAUCUGAUACGUCCCCCUACGGAGGACUACAUAUUAAAUGGAUUUUUCGAACAGGGAGUCGGAAAUGCGGCUUGCUCAAGUCCGCUCCACGCAUUUACCCGGUAUUGCAGUACCUCCAGGAACGUACAAGUACC